This 363-nucleotide long non-coding RNA is filed under the name Trifolium pratense (red clover). Its description in RNAcentral is "long non-coding RNA (TPRA_LNC002442)". The record is from RNAcentral. Lineage: Eukaryota; Viridiplantae; Streptophyta; Magnoliopsida; Fabales; Fabaceae.
UGAAGACAAAAGACCAAAAUGAACAAAAAAUACUUAAAUAAAAUAAUGAAGUUUUGAUGAAGCAUCUUCUGUUUUUCUCGCGUCGCUGCACUUAUUUCUUCAUGGCGCGAUUCUACAAUUGGACCGGCACGUGACGUCAUCAAAGCAUAAGCAAAGUGAUACAAUCCAAUAUUUUUUUGACGUGUCAAUUAAACCAAGUUAGUGGGAUGCGAUGUGUCACGUGAGGGAGGGGAUUUGGCUUUUCUUAUGCAUAUAUAAAGGCAACAGCUAUAUUGAUUAGGAUAAUCACUGAUGGGAGAGAAAAAAUACGUGCGGCAGUCAAGAGAAGAAAAUUCAAGGGUUUCGCCGUCGCGGUCUUCAUCG